Long non-coding RNA from Monodelphis domestica (gray short-tailed opossum), 673 nucleotides. RefSeq lists it as uncharacterized. The record is from RefSeq and is a predicted model, not a curated record. Lineage: Eukaryota; Metazoa; Chordata; Mammalia; Didelphimorphia; Didelphidae.
UUAAACUUUGAUUCUGGUUUGUGCCUGAUCCUUUCAAUUUCUAUGUCUAUUUUUUUUUUUCAGGCUUCAUGCUACCCAAGCCUGGCUGAGAGAAAUCAUUUACAAUUUUCAUUGCAUAAACAGAUGCCAGAGUUGCCAACUGAAAAGUACACAUGUGUCCAAGGAGAUGUGUUUUCUGUUCCACAAACUCUGUUUUUUUUUCUUACUUGUGCUCAAUCUCUGGGAUGGUCAGAAGGAUUAAGUCUUAUGUCUGAUUUGAAGAUCAGCUAUUAGAGAAACAAAUAAUUAAAAGCACCUAAGCAGUUAAAGAAGCUAUAAUUGAAGAAGAUUAAGUGAUUGCCCAAGGUCACAAGAUAGUAACUACAACUGGUCAGGAUGAGGAAAGGAAGAUUCAAGGAGUCACAAUGAGUCCAGCAGAAAAGACUGAUGAUACACAAGAAAAACUUAAUACUUUAUGAAAGGAAGAAUACAUGUAUAUAUGUAUAUGUAUGUAUAUGUAUACACAUACAUGCAAGAAUAAAUCUGUGUUUAUAUUAAAUAUCAGAUAUAUAAUUUAUAGAGCUUUAAGAUUUUUAAUCACUUUAGAAAUAUUAUCUCAUUUUACCUUCUUAAUAUCUUUGGGAAAUAGGUGCCAUUAUUGUCUCCAUUUUAUAGAUGAGGAGCCUGAGGUAGG